This 169-nucleotide ribosomal RNA is filed under the name uncultured bacterium. RNAcentral's name for it is "partial 16S ribosomal RNA". It matches the Rfam family "Bacterial small subunit ribosomal RNA", at positions 340 to 525 of the family's 1533-position model. The record is from RNAcentral.
UACGGGAGGCAGCAGUGGGGAAUAUUGGACAAAUGGGCGAAAGCCUGAUCCAGCAAUGCCGCGUGAGUGAUGAAGGCCUUAGGGUUGUAAAGCUCUUUUACCCGAGAUGAUAAUGACAGUACCGGGAGAAUAAGCUCCGGCUAACUCCGUGCCAGCAGCCGCGGUAAAA